RNAcentral lists this ribosomal RNA (253 nucleotides) under uncultured bacterium. RNAcentral's name for it is "partial 16S ribosomal RNA". It matches the Rfam family "Bacterial small subunit ribosomal RNA", at positions 524 to 776 of the family's 1533-position model. The record is from RNAcentral.
UACGUAGGGGGCCAGCGUUGCUCGGAAUUACUGGGCGUAAAGGGUUCGUAGGUGGUGCGGUAAGUUGGGAGUGAAAUCUCUGGGCUUAACUCAGGGGCUGCUUUCAAAACUGCCGUGCUCGAGUGCGAGAGAGGUCAGUGGAAUUGCAGGUGUAGCGGUGAAAUGCGUAGAUAUCUGCAGGAACACCCGUGGCGAAGGCGGCUGACUGGAUCGCAACUGACACUGAGGAACGAAAGCUAGGGGAGCAAACAGG